GUCGUCGUGGCCAAGCCCGGUAAAGGCGCCUCGCCGAUAACGAGGAGACCGCUGGUUCAAAUCCAGCCGACGACA
This 75-nucleotide transfer RNA is filed under the name Asanoa ferruginea. Its description in RNAcentral is "tRNA-Ile". It matches the Rfam family "tRNA". From Rfam's summary of the family: Transfer RNA (tRNA) molecules are approximately 80 nucleotides in length. Lineage: Bacteria; Bacillati; Actinomycetota; Actinomycetes; Micromonosporales; Micromonosporaceae. The record is from RNAcentral.